RNAcentral lists this ribosomal RNA (402 nucleotides) under uncultured microorganism. RNAcentral's name for it is "bacterial SSU rRNA". It matches the Rfam family "Archaeal small subunit ribosomal RNA", at positions 330 to 735 of the family's 1478-position model. The record is from RNAcentral.
GUGCACCAGGCGCGAAUCCUUCGCAAUGCGGGAAACCGCGACGAGGGACUCCCAGUGCCUACGCUCAGCGUAGGCUGUUCCCGAGCCUAGAAAGCUCGGGGAGUAAGGGCUGGGUAAGACGGGUGCCAGCCGCCGCGGUAAUACCCGCAGCCCGAGUGGUGGCCACUAUUAUUGGGCCUAAAGCGUCCGUAGCCGGCCCGGUAAAUGCCUGGGUAAAUCGUGAGGCCUAACCUCACGAAUUCCGGGUAGACUGCCGGGCUAGGGACCGGAGGAGGGAGAGGGUACUCCGGGGGUAGGGGUGAAAUCCUGUAAUCCCUGGAGGACCACCGGUGGCGAAGGCGCUCUCCUAGGACGGGUCCGACGGUGAGGGACGAAAGCCAGGGGAGCGAACCGGAUUAGAUA